Pelobates cultripes (western spadefoot toad) is the source of this 209-nucleotide non-coding RNA. NCBI's taxonomy places the organism in Eukaryota, Metazoa, Chordata, Amphibia, Anura, Pelobatidae. The record is from the annotation of a GenBank genome assembly.
CAGGUUUUCGUGCACUUGAUUGGGUUUAAGUGAAACAUCUCAGACUGCCCUGCAGCAGUUUUAUCAGACACCUAGAUAAUGCAGGGCUUGGCAAGGCCUGUUACCUGCGUGGCACAGAGAGUUAACCUCUUACCUGCUACAGUAAGGUUAAACAAGCCAUGAUUUGUGAAGGACAAGUUGACAACCAAGCAAGAACAUGUAGGUGAAAG